This 429-nucleotide ribosomal RNA is filed under the name uncultured bacterium. RNAcentral describes it as "bacterial SSU rRNA". It matches the Rfam family "Bacterial small subunit ribosomal RNA", at positions 355 to 776 of the family's 1533-position model. The record is from RNAcentral.
UGGGGAAUAUUGCGCAAUGGGCGAAAGCCUGACGCAGCAACGCCGCGUGGGUGAUGAAGGUCUUCGGAUUGUAAAACCCUGUCGUCAGGGACGAAGGUUGCUAGUUGAAUAGACUAGUAACUUGACGGUACCUGGAAAGGAAGCCCCGGCUAACUCUGUGCCAGCAGCCGCGGUAAUACAGAGGGGGCAAGCGUUAUUCGGAAUUAUUGGGCGUAAAGAGCGCGUAGGCGGUGUUUUAAGUGAGAUGUGCAAUCCCCGAGCUUAACUUGGGAACUGCAUCUCAGACUGGAACGCUAGAGUACCGGAGAGGGUGGUAGAAUUCCACGUGUAGCGGUGAAAUGCGUAGAGAUGUGGAGGAAUACCAGUGGCGAAGGCGGCCACCUGGACGGUAACUGACGCUGAGGUGCGAAAGUGUGGGUAGCAAACAGG